CCUACGGGUGGCAGCAGUGAGGAAUAUUGCACAAUGGGCGAAACCCUGAUGCAGCCACGCCGCGUGAGGGAAGAAGGAUCUCGGUAUGUUAAGCUCCUUUAGCAGGGGAGCAAAUGCCGGUACCUGAUUAAGAAGCCCCGUAUCACUACGUGCCAGCACCGGAGGCAACACGGAGGGAGCAACCGUAAUCCGGAUUUACUGGGGGUUAAGGGAGCUUAGUGGGUUAUGCAAGUCAGAAGUGAAAGUCCGGGGCUCAACUCCGGGACUGCUGUUGAAACUGUGUGACUGGAGUGAAGGAGAGGUAAGCGGAAUGCGUGGUGUAGCGGUGAAAUGCGUAGAUAUCAGGCAGAACACCAGUGGCGAAGGCAGCUUACUGGACUGUAACUGACGUUGAGGCACGAAAGCGUGGGGAGCAAACAGGAUUAGAUACCCGGGUAGUC
This 440-nucleotide ribosomal RNA is filed under the name uncultured bacterium. Its description in RNAcentral is "partial 16S ribosomal RNA". It matches the Rfam family "Bacterial small subunit ribosomal RNA", at positions 338 to 795 of the family's 1533-position model. The record is from RNAcentral.